RNAcentral lists this ribosomal RNA (473 nucleotides) under uncultured bacterium. RNAcentral's name for it is "bacterial SSU rRNA". It matches the Rfam family "Bacterial small subunit ribosomal RNA", at positions 335 to 801 of the family's 1533-position model. The record is from RNAcentral.
ACUCCUACGGGAGGCAGCAGUAGGGAAUCUUCCACAAUGGGCGCAAGCCUGAUGGAGCAACACCGCGUGAGUGAAGAAGGGUUUCGGCUCGUAAAGCUCUGUUGUUAAAGAAGAGCACGUAUGAGAGUAACUGUUCAUACGUUGACGGUAUUUAACCAGAAAGUCACGGCUAACUACGUGCCAGCAGCCGCGGUAAUACGUAGGUGGCAAGCGUUAUCCGGAUUUAUUGGGCGUAAAGAGAGUGCAGGCGGUUUUCUAAGUCUGAUGUGAAAGCCUUCGGCUUAACCGGAGAAGUGCAUCGGAAACUGGAUAACUUGAGUGCAGAAGAGGGUAGUGGAACUCCAUGUGUAGCGGUGGAAUGCGUAGAUAUAUGGAAGAACACCAGUGGCGAAGGCGGCUACCUGGUCUGCAACUGACGCUGAGACUCGAAAGCAUGGGUAGCGAACAGGAUUAGAUACCCUGGUAGGAUAGCG